UGGGGAAUAUUGCACAAUGGGCGCAAGCCUGAUGCAGCGACGCCGCGUGAGGGAUGACGGCCUUCGGGUUGUAAACCUCUUUCAGCAGGGACGAAGCGCGAGUGACGGUACCUGCAGAAGAAGCACCGGCCAACUACGUGCCAGCAGCCGCGGUAAUACGUAGGGUGCGAGCGUUGUCCGGAAUUACUGGGCGUAAAGAGCUCGUAGGCGGUUUGUCGCGUCGUCUGUGAAAUUCUGCAGCUUAACUGUAGGCGUGCAGGCGAUACGGGCAGACUUGAGUACUACAGGGGAGACUGGAAUUCCUGGUGUAGCGGUGAAAUGCGCAGAUAUCAGGAGGAACACCGGUGGCGAAGGCGGGUCUCUGGGUAGUAACUGACGCUGAGGAGCGAAAGCGUGGGUAGCGAACAGG
RNAcentral lists this ribosomal RNA (409 nucleotides) under uncultured prokaryote. RNAcentral's name for it is "bacterial SSU rRNA". It matches the Rfam family "Bacterial small subunit ribosomal RNA", at positions 355 to 776 of the family's 1533-position model. The record is from RNAcentral. RNAcentral also lists the same sequence under 1 other name.